GACGAACGCUGGCGGCGUGCCUAAUACAUGCAAGUAGAACGCUGAAGGGAGGAGCUUGCUCUUCUUGGAUGAGUUGCGAACGGGUGAGUAACGCGUAGGUAACCUGCCUUGUAGCGGGGGAUAACUAUUGGAAACGAUAGCUAAUACCGCAUAACAAUGGAUGACACAUGUCAUUUAUUUGAAAGGGGCAAUUGUUCCACUACAAGAUGGACCUGCGUUGUAUUAGCUAGUAGGUGAGGUAAUGGCUCACCUAGGCGACGAUACAUAGCCGACCUGAGAGGGUGAGCGGCCACACUGGGACUGAGACACGGCCCAGACUCCUACGGGAGGCAGCAGUAGGGAAUCUUCGGCAAUGGGGGCAACCCUGACCGAGCAACGCCGCGUGAGUGAAGAAGGUUUUCGGAUCGUAAAGCUCUGUUGUAAGUCAAGAACGGGGGUGAGAGUGGAAAGUUCACACUGUGACGGUAGCUUACCAGAAAGGGACGGCUAACUACGUG
This 497-nucleotide ribosomal RNA is filed under the name uncultured bacterium. Its description in RNAcentral is "partial 16S ribosomal RNA". It matches the Rfam family "Bacterial small subunit ribosomal RNA", at positions 28 to 507 of the family's 1533-position model. The record is from RNAcentral.